AACGAACGCUGGCGGCAGGCCUAACACAUGCAAGUCGAGCGCCCCGCAAGGGGAGCGGCGGACGGGUGAGUAACGCGUGGGAACGUACCCUUUGCUACGGAAUAGCCUCGGGAAACUAGGAGUAAUACCGUAUGUGCCCUUCGGGGGAAAGAUUUAUCGGCAAAGGAUCGGCCCGCGUUGGAUUAGGUAGUUGGUGGGGUAAUGGCCUACCAAGCCGACGAUCCAUAGCUGGUUUGAGAGGAUGAUCAGCCACACUGGGACUGAGACACGGCCCAGACCCCUACGGGAGGCAGCAGUGGGGAAUCUUAGACAAGGGGCGCAAGCCUGAUCUAGCCAUGCCGCGUGAGCGAUGAAGGCCUUAGGGUUGUAAAGCUCUUUCAGUGGGGAAGAUAAUGACUGUACCCACAGAAGAAGCCCCGGCUAACUCCGUGCCAGCCGCCGCAGUAA
Molecule: ribosomal RNA, 447 nt
Filed under: uncultured bacterium
Lineage: Bacteria
Description: partial 16S ribosomal RNA
Rfam family: Bacterial small subunit ribosomal RNA
Source: RNAcentral